GUGAAUCAUCGAAUUUUUGAACGCAAAUUGCACUCCCUGGUAUUCCGGGGAGUAUGCCUGUUUGAGGGUCGUUUGAACAUAAAUCGAAGCGUCGCUCUUUUGUGUAAGUGUGAUCGCGUCGGAAUUGAGGCGUCUUCCAAAUGUUAAUGCAGGUCAGAGUGGCUUAAAAUUCAUCCAUCCAGUACGAAUC
This 190-nucleotide unclassified non-coding RNA is filed under the name Glomeraceae sp. RNAcentral describes it as "partial contains 5.8S ribosomal RNA and internal transcribed spacer 2". The stretch from base 1 to 71 matches the Rfam family "5.8S ribosomal RNA", at positions 84 to 154 of the family's 154-position model. Lineage: Eukaryota; Fungi; Glomeromycota; Glomeromycetes; Glomerales; Glomeraceae. The record is from RNAcentral.